UCUGUUGAAUUCUCCAUUCUGUCUAUUGUGUUUGAGAUCAGAGUGACACUAUAAAAGAGUGGGAAGCAAUAAUUGAAAGUGAAUCUAACACCAAAAAAGAAGCUGAAAGGGAAGAAUUGAAUGCUUACCCGCAGAUUUUUUGUUGCUGAUAUCGGCCACGUGUGUUCAAAGAAUUAAGAUCGAAUAAUGUGUCUUGGACUCUUGGUGAUCAUGAAGACACGAGGUGAUGCAAUUGUUGCUGGAAAUAGUGGUUGUUAGGUGGUGGCACGUUUAAUAAUUCAUUAAGAGUGAUCCCUCGAAGUUUUAGGGAUUUAGGAUCACGUGUUUAUUAGAUUAAGAUAUACUAGUAUUAUCCCCGUUUGUCCGUGCGAUGCACGGAUAAUUUUUUUAUGAACUCCAC
Long non-coding RNA from Lotus japonicus, 400 nucleotides. RefSeq lists it as uncharacterized. NCBI's taxonomy places the organism in Eukaryota, Viridiplantae, Streptophyta, Magnoliopsida, Fabales, Fabaceae. The transcript is spliced from 3 exons. The record is from RefSeq and is a predicted model, not a curated record.